This 497-nucleotide ribosomal RNA is filed under the name uncultured bacterium. Its description in RNAcentral is "partial 16S ribosomal RNA". It matches the Rfam family "Bacterial small subunit ribosomal RNA", at positions 28 to 507 of the family's 1533-position model. The record is from RNAcentral.
GAUGAACGCUGGCGGCGUGCCUAAUACAUGCAAGUCGAGCGAACAGAUGAGGAGCUUGCUCCUCUGACGUUAGCGGCGGACGGGUGAGUAACACGUGGAUAACCUACCUAUAAGACUGGGAUAACUUCGGGAAACCGGAGCUAAUACCGGAUAAUAUAUUGAACCGCAUGGUUCAAUAGUGAAAGACGGUUUUGCUGUCACUUAUAGAUGGAUCCGCGCCGCAUUAGCUAGUUGGUAAGGUAACGGCUUACCAAGGCAACGAUGCGUAGCCGACCUGAGAGGGUGAUCGGCCACACUGGAACUGAGACACGGUCCAGACUCCUACGGGAGGCAGCAGUAGGGAAUCUGCCGCAAUGGGCGAAAGCAUGACGGAGCAACGCCGCGUGAGUGAUGAAGGUCUUCGGAUCGUAAAACUCUGUUAUUAGGGAAGAACAAAUGUGUAAGUAACUAUGCACGUCUUGACGGUACCUAAUCAGAAAGCCACGGCUAACUACGUG